AUAAGAAUGGCCAUACUGGCUCAGACCAAAGGUCCAUCUAGCCCAGUAUCCUGUCUCCUGACAGUGGCCAAUGCCAGGUGCCCCAGAGGGAAUGAACAGAACAGGUAAUCAUCAAGUGAUCCAUUACCUGUUGCCCAUUCCCAGCUUCUGGCAAACAGAGGCUAGCUAUGCCAUCCCUGCCCUUCUUGGCUAAUAGCCAUUGAUGCACCUAUCCUCCAUGAGUUUAUCUAGUUCUUUUUUGAAUGUAUCUUAAAUGUAUCUGAAAUAUUCACAUGGGUGUAGUGGGGAAAAGUGAUUGUAAAAUGGUUCCUUCUGGUAGAAAAACUGUGUGACUGUUACUUUAAAAUAAGUAGGAACCCCACAAUCACCUUUGUAAGUUACUUUUCUGACUAGUUACUGAUUUACAGUUGUUGGUUUUUUUUUAAGUCACUGACAGUGAAAUGGAUUUUGCAGGUUUUAGAUAGUUUCAUACCCAGGACUUAAGCAUUUUAGCUUCCUUGAUGAGUUAUCAGCAAGUUCUUGUUCUCUUUUGAUUUGCAAAGAUUAUUUCACUAGUUGAUAGAGCUUUCAUGAUACACAUAGAUGCAAAAUAUGUUUUGUUCUUUGGGGGCUAUCGUAAACAUGUGCACACAUACCAGUUAUACAGAUGAUAAGCUGCAGUCAGGAGGUACAUUUCAGUUAGAUAUUCUACACUCUGAUGAAGAUAAAAUAUCUGGAAACAGAUUCAGUAUUAAAGACUUUUGUUAUAUUUUCUUAGCACAAUAAACAAGAUUUGUACAGGGAUUUUUCUGUUAGUUUCACUACAACUUGUGUCUGCAUCGGUGUUUACAUGUUCAUAUGGUUUUGUGUGUCUGUGGCAAGAAAAGAAUAUAAAUUACACGGUAAAUUGUCACAUGUUCAUGCAAUUAGCAGAAGCUUGACUUUUAUUUUGUACAUGUAUGGUGAUUAUAUCAGCCUUGCAAACUUGUAUUCACCCAGAAAGAGUUGUUCUUUUAGGAGCAGCAAGUGGGACAUCAGCCUUUCUCCUCAUUUCUCCAUCAUCAUGGUAAAAAGCAAAUGAUUUGAUGUGUUAGCUAAUAGUGGGUAAUUACAUUUCAUCAUGACUUUGCAAGCUUGCAUUAAGUCUGACAGAUGUCCACAUAGUUAUCUUAAGGCUUAACUUACUUUAGAUGGCACAGUGUAAAGGGGUGUGAAUAUAUAAUUCUAUUCUGACUUGUAUGAUGACCGUUUUAAGUAUUUAAUACAGCUGUAAUGAAAAGUUUCCACAUUUUUUGGAAAUGUGCAGCUUAUACUCCUAGGAACUAGUGGACAAGGGGACUUCUAUGCACUAAUUUACUGCAGGGUAAAGAUGACCUUGGAGUUGAUGAUAUUGAGAUAGGGAAGGCUGAGAUGAGGAUCGUAACUGCAGGGCAGUACCUGUCAAGUCUUACUGUCACACUUUUGACAGUAAGAGAGCAAACUCAGCACAGGGAGUAUUAUUGUGAGUUAAGUAUCACUCUGAUUAAAAACCUAGCUGUUUGGUGGCUUCAUAAUAUUAGAAUGUAUUUGCAACAAAAUAUUUACUACAUUCCAGAAUUCUUAGGCCACUAUUCAGUGUGUGAUUGACUUAUAUUAUACUUGAGCUGCAUUGUUUUUUACCUCAAGUCUUGGCAAAGAGAAUCCUUCUUGCCUUGAAAUUCAUACCUGUAUGGGAGAUUAUCUUGAUCUCUCAAAAGUCUGCUUGCUACCAGAGUACUGGAAUUUAAUUAUUCAUGUCAAGGGACCUUUUUUUCCUGGUAAUCGUAGGUGUUGAUAAUGUACCUAACAUUGUAGUGGUUUUCCUUCUUUAAUCUUCAUAUUUGCUGUCAAGCUUGAAAACCUUCAUUUUUAACCUUAUGUUCCUCAUUAUCUGUACUUAACUUAAUACUUGGCAGUUAUUGCACUGUGUAUUUUUAACAUGUAUGAAUAUAUCCUAUGCUCAUAAUUAUUAUUUACUUAUAAAAUCAUCUGGUAACAUGGGAUAUUUUAUUUAUUCUCCUGGGAUAAAGGCAUUUAUUCUUAGUUACCUGAUAUAAAGAAGUUCUUAGCUGCUGUAUUUUUAGAAAAUAUUCAACUAGUACAUAUAUACACAAUAAAAUAAUACAACAGAAUCUGCAUGUGUAUUUGUGUAACUAAGGUUUUUUUCAGUUCUGCAAAACUUCUUUCAAGAAAAUAAUGUAAUUGCUCCCUAACAAUGAACUGGUUCAUCAUGUGUGGAGUGUAAGCAAUGUCAAACGUGUUGUGAUCCGUGAAGCUGUGAAAGACUCUACUGAACUGUAUUAUAAUUGGAAUCAUGAAACAAUGAACCUGGCUGUGUAGAAGCAGUACUAACUGAAGAAUAUGUAAUGGUUCAUUGUCCUCUUGAGCUGUGAGAAACUAGGACUGUACAUUUUGAAUAUCCAUUUACUCUACUAUUUCAUUCAACAGUUAGAAUUAGACAUGACCUAAAGAAACUGUCAGCUAAGUUCCUUUUUUAAUAUUGAAUAUUUGUUUAACACAGAACAUAAUUAAGCAUUAUUGCUAUAGCUCAUAAUUUCCUGACCUUCAUGUUUUGUGUUUUGCAGUUUUCUUUAUAUGCAGUGGUGUUGUAGACAUGUCAGUCCCAGGAUAUUAGAGAGACAAGGAGGGUGAGGUGAUAUCUUUUAUUGGACCAACUUGUGUUGGUAAGAGACCCAAGCGUUCAAGCUGACACAGAGCUCUUCUUCAGGUCUGACAAAUGUACUCACAGUAUCACAGCUAAAUACAAGGUGGAACAGGUUGUUUAGUAUAAGUAGUUAACACAUAUUUCAAAGGACCAUUGAAGGUGAAAUGCCCUAUUAACACCUCUCCAGCCAGAAAAGAGAAAAAAAUGGGGAAAGGGAGGUUAGUUUGUUAUACACCAUAAAUCCAACGUCUCUGUUCAGUCCAUGAUUUUUAGUGUCUAGCAGAGUUAUGAAUUUAAAUCCCCAGGCUCAUCUUUUGAAGGUGGUGUGCAGGUUUCCUUUGAUGAGGAGGAUGGAUAGGUCAGGUAUAGAGUGUUUGCUUUAGGAAAAGUGUUCACCCACAGGUGACUAUUUUUGUCUUUGAUCACUUUCCUGUGUGAGUUCAUUUGAGAGCAUAGUGCUUGUCUGGUUUCACUCACGUAGAGGCUAUUGGAUGAGCUACCCAACGUGUUGUGAUUGGCAUGUGUAGGAACCAUGGAUCUUGAAAAGUGUGUACUAUGGAGUGUUGAUCACUGUAGCAAUGGAGAUACGUUUUAAGGUUUUGCAUCUGUUGUUCUGGAAGGGUCUGGUGGUGCUUUGAGGUGGUCGGGGAGUUUGCUUUUGAUGAUGAGGGUGGCGAGGUUGGGGGAUUGUGUAAAGUCCAGAAGAGGUGGUUCAGGAAGAUUUUUCAGGUUGGGAUCCCCAUCAAGUAUGGGUUGUAAUUGUUUGACAUAGCCUGUAUGAGCUCCAGUGUGGGAUGGUAGGUGACAACUAGAGCUGUGCAGUCAGAGGGGAUUUUAUUUCUGUAUUGAAGCAAGUUCUCAGGAUAUUUGGGUGGCCUGUUCCAUAAUGGGAUCUACUUCUCUGGUGGAGUGUCCUUGUUUGGUGAAAGUGGUUUUAACUGUAUUAAGGCGUAUAUCCUGGACUUCCUUCUCUGAGCAUAUUCUGUGGUAUCUAAGUGCCUGACUGAGUGUGUUUGUGGUGGUUACUGGAUCAGUACAGGUAGGUGUGGUGAUGUGCGAUUUCUUAUUUAUCAUUAUCUGUAAGGUUCCCUUGUUGAAGCUGAUCAUGGUAUGGGACACAGAUGCUGGUGUGGGAGUGUUCUGGAGAGAGUUUAAUAGAUGAGUGGUGGUAGUUGAAGUUGUGAAGGAAAUCUAGGAGGAAGUUUAGGUCGGCUGUCCAGAGGACUUCAGUAUCAUCAAUACAUCUCCAGUAUAUCAUUGGUUUUGUGGUGCAUUUGUCCAGAUGCCGUUCUUAUGUCACUUUCAUAAGGUAGGUAUAAAGAUAUCAGAUUAAACUUCAACCUAUCAGUUGGACUGAAGAACUGAUUGUUUGUUUAAUUUGAAUAGCCUAUUUUAUUAAUGGGAUUAAUGUAACAAAUUUCAGUCCUACCGUGCCAUACCAUAGCACCUUUAAGAUUUGGCUGUCAUAUGGAUAUUGUGGAUUCCUAUUUGAAUUAAUUUCAUUAAACAUACAUCUGUUGAUGUGUAAGCAGGAAAUUUAAGAUACUGGUUAAAUGUUCCCACCUGAAAUUGAUUAAACACAAUUGACUUGUAUAUAUAUUCAAGAUGUUUUCUAGAGAAUCUGCUUAUUUGAUUACAGUAGACUUUUUAUGAUCAAGGUACUUUUCCUGAUAGAAGUAACCUGUGUGUUCAUAACCAAACGGCCAAUUUACUUGUGAUACAGGUCAUUAUUUGCCUUUCCUAUGGAGGUCCUUUUGAUGUGACAAAUUCACCAUGUCUGAGUAUUAGCAUAUGGAGGAUUGAUUGGAUAAUCAAAUCAUUAUCAAAGACUCUGCAAAAUAACUUGGAGACCUGAACAGAGCUAAUAAGUUAGCAGACAGAAGUAAUACAAAUACUUAGCCCUUACAUGUUGGUUUAUAUCUUCAAAGCAUUGUAUGAACUAAUUCCAACACCAUGCCUGUUCAGUAGGUAUUCUCCCCAUUAUACAGGUGAGGAAACUGAGCUACAGAGAAUUAAGGCUGUGAUCCAACAAGGUAUUCAAGCAUUGCAAUCAGUGAAAUUACUUGCAUGCUUAAAGUUUGACAUGUGCUUGCUGAACUGGGGCCUUGCAGAAGGAAUUGAUGUCAGAGUUGGGAGAUCCUGGUUCUCCUAGACCUUUCCCUGGAAAGACGCUGAUGGUCAUUCUGAAUCCAUGAGGCAAAAGGUACUAUCUUAAAGUGAGCCACAGUGAUAGUUGAACAAGUCAACUUUGUCUCAUGUGACCUCUAACCUAAAGAGAGGGGAGCUGGUAACCUGCACUUGCAGUGGCAAAAUUAACCCUAAAAUCCAAACAAGGGACACUUAACUACUGGUAUGAGGGCAGACCCCCUAUUUAUUUCAAGAGGACACACAGAGUAUGUACUUUUAGGUUUCCAGUUUUGCAGUGUUUUUAAAGCAGUGUGAUUACACAACAGGCAGGUAUCAAUGUAGGACACGAUGAUGAAGCAUAAGUUUGCAAUGCGUUUUAAUUAAGCAAAUGUUUUUUCACCUUUAGCUGUAGCAAACUUAAUUUGUGUCCCAAUUCAGUAUCAAUCGAAGUUAAGUUUUUGUAAUUAAAUUCUUUGUGUAAUGUAAUUCCUUCCCUGAAGAACCGAGGGACGCACCCCACCCCUGUACUUAUUCUCUACAUCAAUACUGACUUGGACUCUUAAUACAUUACAUGGGUGGCGUAUCUGAUCCCACUUAUCCGCUGAUGCUUUAAAAGCUCCCACACCCCAAUCUGGGUCUAUGCUGGUUAUGUGAGAUAUACGUAUCUUGUGAUCCUUGUAACCAAUACCUGUGAUCCCUCAUAAUUCAAGCCUGACCCCAGAUGAACAGUACCUUCCCUCUUAACUUGUAUAUAUUUAAUUUUAAAUAUUAACUUAAAUAAAAAUUUUAAGCUCUUUGAA
Gopherus flavomarginatus (Mexican gopher tortoise) is the source of this 5589-nucleotide long non-coding RNA. RefSeq lists it as uncharacterized. The transcript has 2 exons. The record is from RefSeq and is a predicted model, not a curated record. NCBI's taxonomy places the organism in Eukaryota, Metazoa, Chordata, Testudines, Testudinidae.